Molecule: long non-coding RNA, 308 nt
Organism: Priapulus caudatus
Lineage: Eukaryota; Metazoa; Priapulida; Priapulimorpha; Priapulimorphida; Priapulidae
Exons: 3
Source: RefSeq, a predicted model, not a curated record
AAGAGCAAAGGAUGAUCUAGCGAUUCGUGACGGAACUCCGGACAUCGUUAAGUCUGUGCAGAAGGAAGAGCAUAUCAACAUGUACUCCAUUGAUAUGGGGCUGUCGUUGCCGUCGAAGGUGUUGAUCCCUCAGCGCUAUGUGGAGCUGGAGCCUGAGAGACUGACACCAGAACAGCUGCAGGAACGCAAGCACAAGGCUGACAGCAUCAAGAAGAUGCUGCUCCACUCCGAGACCUCAAACAUGAGCAGGCCUGAUCAGGAGCCAGGCAUCGCCAGCAGCAGCAGCAGCAGCAGCACAGCAGACCCGA